UACGUAGGGACCAAGCGUUGUCCGGAAUCAUUGGGCGUAAAGAGCGUGUAGGCGGCUUGUUAAGUCUUGCGUGAAAUCUCGGGGCUCAACCCCGAGCGGUCGUGAGAAACUGGCAGGCUAGAGUGCGGGAGAGGAGAGUGGAAUUCCUGGUGUAGCGGUGAAAUGCGUAGAGAUCAGGAGGAACACCGAUGGCGAAGGCAGGUCUCUGGGCUGACACUGACGCUCAUGCACGAAAGCGUGGGGAGCAAACAGG
This 253-nucleotide ribosomal RNA is filed under the name uncultured bacterium. Its description in RNAcentral is "partial 16S ribosomal RNA". It matches the Rfam family "Bacterial small subunit ribosomal RNA", at positions 524 to 776 of the family's 1533-position model. The record is from RNAcentral.